Molecule: ribosomal RNA, 253 nt
Filed under: uncultured bacterium
Lineage: Bacteria
Description: partial 16S ribosomal RNA
Rfam family: Bacterial small subunit ribosomal RNA
Source: RNAcentral
UACGUAGGUGGCAAGCGUUGUCCGGAAUUAUUGGGCGUAAAGCGCGCGCAGGCGGUCCUUUAAGUCUGAUGUGAAAGCCCACGGCUCCACCGUGGAGGGUCAUUGGAAACUGGGGGACUUGAGUGCAGAAGAGGAGAGUGGAAUUCCACGUGUAGCGGUGAAAUGCGUAGAGAUGUGGAGGAACACCAGUGGCGAAGGCGACUCUCUGGUCUGUAACUGACGCUGAGGCGCGAAAGCGUGGGGAGCAAACGGG